This is a long non-coding RNA of Panonychus citri (citrus red mite), 723 nucleotides long. RefSeq lists it as uncharacterized. The record is from RefSeq and is a predicted model, not a curated record. The transcript has 3 exons. Lineage: Eukaryota; Metazoa; Arthropoda; Arachnida; Trombidiformes; Tetranychidae.
GAUGAACAGUAGAGUCAGAAUUACCAGACCUUUUUUUGGCUCGUACUCUCGGGUGAUUUGGAUCUGCCAUUUUGAUGUAUUUCACUUAUGUAGAGAAAGAGAAAGAAAUUCACUUCCUAAGCUUGCUUAAACUCACUUGCUUCACUGUUUAUUUGUUAAGAAUUCACCAUCAAUGAGAAUUUGAAUCAAAUGAGAAAAUGAAACAAAAUUUUCUGCCAAAAAAUCUUCGUUUUGCUCCAUCUGGUGGAUCGAUUCACAUUCAAAUUCGAAGAACAACAAGUAGCGACAUCGCUUGAGUGGAAAAGCUACUAAUAGGAUUCGUUGAUUCUCAUUAAUUUGUUUUCUUUUUUCAAUUUUAAUUGUUUCAAUUAUUUUCUUUUUCUUCGUUUUAAUUGUCGAUCAUCUACCAUCAAAUUUUAUUCUAAUUCUCUAAUAAACUAUCGCUUCUAAUUUUCCAUUUGUCUUAUGAGAGAUUAAAAGGUGAAAUAUGGCUGAUUCAUCCACCAAAGAGAAAAGGGUUAAAUUGGUUGAGGUGAAUACCUUUACUUUUAUGGUAAAAUCUGGUGGAAUAUUACAAGUACAUGUGUAACCUUGGGUUGUUUGUAGUUGAGAUCCAAUUGGAUACAAGUUUCCAUGAUAUAAACAGUGACCAGGAGUGAGACUUGUGUUAACAACUUCAUCGGGUGAUGUGCAAUAAUCAAGACAAUCAGAUUGAGAUUCAAA